This 620-nucleotide long non-coding RNA is filed under the name Danio rerio (zebrafish). Its description in RNAcentral is "lncRNA si:ch211-132p20.5 (ENSDARG00000095920.2)". Lineage: Eukaryota; Metazoa; Chordata; Actinopteri; Cypriniformes; Danionidae. The record is from RNAcentral.
AUACCAGAAAAGAAAACGAAGCGACUAAAUCACGCGAAACUGACGCACAUCAGACUGGAAAACACAAAGUCUACAGCAUAGAUGUUUUAUCCUGUGCCUGAAGUGCUGAGAAGUGGUUUUGCUAAUGACAGGCACACAAAGGCAAGGCAAGUUUGUUUAUAUGGGAAAGCCACUGUGAUCUGAAUACUUCGGAGAAGAGGUGAACCAGUUCAGAAGCUCUGCAAAGGGAUUUCUACUGUACUCGGGCCUCCUUUAGUCGGGCAGAUAGGUUACCAAAAAGGAGAAAUCCAGCACCUCCACACCUCUCCCUGGGACGGGACGUCCUACGAAGAUCUGUGUGAGGGUAAAGUGUAAAAAUCUCAAACAAGUGACUUAAAAAGAGCUUCUCUGAUUAAGAUGUCAGACACACGAUAACGCCAGAAAAACACUGGCAAGAACAGUGCUCAUGGGAGGUGAUCGCAGAGAAAACCACUGAUUCGCAGAAUAAAAACAUCGCUGCCCUUCUCAGGUUUGCAGAAAAACUUUCCAGGAUGAUCUGACGCUCUGACGAAAGAUGAUCUUAGGACAGAUGAGAUGUCAGAGAACAUUUAAUUGAUCAAAUGCAGUAAGUGAAUAUACAG